RNAcentral lists this ribosomal RNA (845 nucleotides) under uncultured bacterium. RNAcentral's name for it is "bacterial SSU rRNA". It matches the Rfam family "Bacterial small subunit ribosomal RNA", at positions 8 to 853 of the family's 1533-position model. The record is from RNAcentral.
AGAGUUUGAUCCUGGCUCAGGAUGAACGCUGGCGGCGUGCUUAACACAUGCAAGUCGAACGAAGCACCUUGAUUUGAUUCUUCGGAUGAAGAUCUUGGUGGCUGAGUGGCGGACGGGUGAGUAACGCGUGGGUAACCUGCCUCAUACAGGGGGAUAACAGUUAGAAAUGACUGCUAAUACCGCAUAAGACCACAGCACCGCAUGGUGCAGGGGUAAAAACUCCGGUGGUAUGAGAUGGACCCGCGUCUGAUUAGGUAGUCGGUGGGGUAACGGCCUACCAAGCCGACGAUCAGUAGCCGACCUGAGAGGGUGACCGGCCACAUUGGGACUGAGACACGGCCCAAACUCCUACGGGAGGCAGCAGUGGGGAAUAUUGCACAAUGGGGGAAACCCUGAUGCAGCGACGCCGCGUGAGCGAUGAAGUAUUUCGGUAUGUAAAGCUCUAUCAGCAGGGAAGAAAAUGACGGUACCUGACUAAGAAGCACCGGCUAAAUACGUGCCAGCAGCCGCGGUAAUACGUAUGGUGCAAGCGUUAUCCGGAUUUACUGGGUGUAAAGGGAGCGUAGACGGAGUGGCAAGUCUGAUGUGAAAACCCGGGGCUCAACCCCGGGACUGCAUUGGAAACUGUCAAUCUGGAGUACCGGAGAGGUAAGCGGAAUUCCUAGUGUAGCGGUGAAAUGCGUAGAUAUUAGGAGGAACACCGGUGGCGAAGGCGGCUUACUGGACGGUAACUGACGUUGAGGCUCGAAAGCGUGGGGAGCAAACAGGAUUAGAUACCCUGGUAGUCCACGCCGUAAACGAUGACUACUAGGUGUCGGGCAGCAAAGCUGUUCGGUGCCGCAGCA